This is a non-coding RNA of Schistosoma mattheei, 45 nucleotides long. The record is from Rfam. NCBI's taxonomy places the organism in Eukaryota, Metazoa, Platyhelminthes, Trematoda, Strigeidida, Schistosomatidae.
CCCCAACUGACGAGUUCAAAACAGGACGAAACGCGCGUCCUGGAU